Molecule: ribosomal RNA, 502 nt
Filed under: uncultured bacterium
Lineage: Bacteria
Description: partial 16S ribosomal RNA
Rfam family: Bacterial small subunit ribosomal RNA
Source: RNAcentral
AUUGAACGCUGGCGGCAUGCCUUACACAUGCAAGUCGAGCGGCAGCGCGGGGGCAACCCUGGCGGCGAGCGGCGAACGGGCGAGUAAUGCAUCGGAACGUGUCCUCUUGUGGGGGAUAACCAGUCGAAAGACUGGCUAAUACCGCAUGAGAUCGCAAGAUGAAAGCAGGGGACCCGCAAGGGCCUUGCGCGAGAGGAGCGGCCGAUGCCUGAUUAGCUAGUUGGUGGGGUAAAAGCCUACCAAGGCGACGAUCAGUAGCUGGUCUGAGAGGACUACCAGCCACACUGGGACUGAGACACGGCCCAGACUCCUACGGGAGGCAGCAGUGGGGAAUUUUGGACAAUGGGGGCAACCCUGAUCCAGCCAUGCCGCGUGUGCGAAGAAGGCCUUCGGGUUGUAAAGCACUUUCGGCCGGAACGAAAUCGUCACCGUUAAUAGCGGUGAUGGAUGACGGUACCGGAAGAAGAGGCACCGGCUAACUACGUGCCAGCCGCCGCGGUAA